GACGAACGCUGGCGGCGUGCCUAACACAUGCAAGUCGAGCGGUAAGGCCCUUUCGGGGGUACACGAGCGGCGAACGGGUGAGUAACACGUGGGUGACCUGCCCUCAGCUCUGGGAUAAGCCUGGGAAACCGGGUCUAAUACUGGAUAUGACUCCAUGACGCAUGUUGUGGGGUGGAAAGCCUUGUGCGGCUGAGGAUGGGCCCGCGGCCUAUCAGCUUGUUGGUGGGGUGANGGCCUACCAAGGCGACGACGGGUAGCCGGCCUGAGAGGGCGACCGGCCACACUGGGACUGAGACACGGCCCAGACUCCUACGGGAGGCAGCAGUGGGGAAUCUUGCGCAAUGGGCGAAAGCCUGACGCAGCGACGCCGCGUGAGGGAUGAC
RNAcentral lists this ribosomal RNA (383 nucleotides) under uncultured bacterium. RNAcentral describes it as "bacterial SSU rRNA". It matches the Rfam family "Bacterial small subunit ribosomal RNA", at positions 28 to 412 of the family's 1533-position model. The record is from RNAcentral.